RNAcentral lists this transfer RNA (76 nucleotides) under Candidatus Brocadiales bacterium. RNAcentral's name for it is "tRNA-Ala". It matches the Rfam family "tRNA". Rfam says of the family: Transfer RNA (tRNA) molecules are approximately 80 nucleotides in length. Their secondary structure includes four short double-helical elements and three loops (D, anti-codon, and T loops). The record is from RNAcentral. Lineage: Bacteria; Pseudomonadati; Planctomycetota; Candidatus Brocadiia; Candidatus Brocadiales.
GGGGCUGUAACUCAGUUGGGAGAGUGCUUGCCUUGCACGCAGGAAGUCGCAAGUUCGAAUCUUGUCAGCUCCACCA